AUGCUCUCACAAACCACUUCUAGUGGGGAGCAAGAAAAUUGCCUCAAAAAGUUGGGUGUGCCAAACGAAAUGACCAGAUAGCUGAAUAAUUUUGCGAUAAUUAUUUAAACGUAUAAAUAAUGAACUAGCUAUUAUAUAAAUUAAAAAUAUUUGGAAUAAUUUCAUAAGAAAUUCAAAUGCAGAUAUUUGUUUUAAGAAAAAAAUGUAUUGUUUAGAAAUUCGAGAAGCGUGUGCAUUCCUCAAAAUCAUUGGUUAAGAAGAGAGAACAGGGUAAGCAACUUGACCAGAUCUACCAUCUAGAGACCACAGUUGUAAACCAUAUUUGUUUUUAGAAACACCUCCCUGACUUAUAUUUCCUCGUUUUUCACAUGCACGCUUCGUAAAAUGUAAAACGACAUGUAUUUUUUUAAAAAAUAAAAUUUCUAAAAAAAGUAGUUUCAAAAAUCAAAUUAAUCCAUUAUUUCAAAAUUUAUGUUAGCUAAUGCUAAGGGAGGGAUCGUUUCGUUUAAUGUACAGGAAGUAGAGUUCCCAACCUCCACUCCGUGCACGUAAAACAAAAUAAUCCAUUAACACAUAAUUAAUUAAGCAUCAACUAAUUUUUUUAAAAAAGAUUAAUAUCAUUUUUUGAAAAAACAACUUUUCUAUUUUUUUAAAAAAAUAUAAUGUUUAGCAAUUUUGAAAACGUAUGUGCGGAAGCAAAGGGAGUAUAAGUUGAAAAAGGUGAGUGCAUGCAUGCGGAACUCAGCCUAAAAUCUACCAUCUGUCACUCAAAAGCAACGUCUCAACAUGUUAACAAG
RNAcentral lists this small RNA (797 nucleotides) under Oryza sativa Japonica Group (Japanese rice). Its description in RNAcentral is "sRNA Os06g0228350". The record is from RNAcentral. Lineage: Eukaryota; Viridiplantae; Streptophyta; Magnoliopsida; Poales; Poaceae.